Molecule: long non-coding RNA, 611 nt
Organism: Triticum aestivum (bread wheat)
Lineage: Eukaryota; Viridiplantae; Streptophyta; Magnoliopsida; Poales; Poaceae
Exons: 3
Source: RefSeq, a predicted model, not a curated record
UGUGCUCAUCCCUGCAAAGAAAAUCUCCUCCUGAAAAAUUAAGUCAUACCCUCCUCUUCGACGACCAGCCAUGGAGCUUUCAAAAAGAAAAAAAGGAAGAUGAUCUAUCAUGGAGGAAGUUCUAUCCAGCAGCCGUACGACCUCAGAAUUCUGUUCUCGAUAGAUACGUUUCGCAACUGCAAGCUGGAGAAGCUGUCUGUGCCGGUCCAUGGCCUCUAUGCCUGGGUCGAUUUCCUCCUAAACUGUAGCGGGCGGCAGCCAGUUGCGUUAUCUCUUCUCUUUGGAAUCAGAAAAAAUUAUCAAUCAACGGGCUGGAUCGUCUACUUACUUGGCGCACCACGAUCCACUAGCAGCACUGCAGAGUCCUUCCACCGAUUGCUCUUCUGCUUCUCAUUGUGAUAUAUGCAGUAUGCCGCGAGCAUGCAACAUGGCCUCUCAGUGCAGGUUGACACGGAAAUCCACCCAAUCCAGGACCAUGAGCAGAGGCACGGAGGGAUUGUCAUCCGCUUCAUCCAAGCAACACAUACAAAUUUUUCAUGUAGGAUAUACGUACGAGUGAAUAAACAUCUUUUAAUAAUUUAAUUAGCAAAUGAUGUCACAUCAUUAUGAGA